RNAcentral lists this ribosomal RNA (1356 nucleotides) under uncultured marine eukaryote. RNAcentral describes it as "SSU rRNA". It matches the Rfam family "Eukaryotic small subunit ribosomal RNA", at positions 411 to 1779 of the family's 1831-position model. The record is from RNAcentral.
CACUUCUAAGGAAGGCAGCAGGCGCGCAAAUUACCCAAUCCUGACUCAGGGAGGUAGUGACAAGAAAUAACAAUAAACCGGCUUAUGCCGGUUUAAUUGGAAUGAGUACAAUUUAAACAUCUUAACGAGGAACAAUUGGAGGGCAAGUCUGGUGCCAGCAGCCGCGGUAAUUUCAGCUCCAAUAGCGUAUACUAAAGUUGUUGCAGUUAAAAAGCUCGUAGUUGGAUUUCUGUGGGGACGGAGCGGCCGGCCGCAACACGCGGUUCGAGCUAGCGCUUUCCCUACAUCCUGCCGCGAACCGUGCUACCAUUAGUUUGGUGGCGCCGGGGAUCGGCUCGAUUACUUUGAGAAAAAUAGAGUGUUCAAAGCAGGCCACAUGCCUUGAAUAAGUUAGCAUGGAAUAAUAACUAAGGACUUCGGUUCUAUUUUGUUGGUGUUCGGGACUGAAGUAAUGAUUGAUAGGGACAGUUGGGGCGGUCUGUAUUCCAAAGCGAGAGGUGAAAUUCUUAGACCUUCGGAAGACAAACAGCUGCGAAAGCGUUCCGCAAGGAUGUUCCCUUUGAUCAAGAACGAAAGUUGGGGGAUCGAAGACGAUCAGAUACCGUCGUAGUCUCAACUAUAAACUAUACCAGCUAGGGAUCGGCCAACGUUAUUUCAUACCGACUUGGUCGGCACCUUAUGAGAAAUCAAAGCAUCUGGGUUCCGGGGGGAGUAUGGUCGCAAGGCUGAAACUUAGAGGAAUUGACGGAAGGGCACCACCAGCCGUGGAGCCUGUGGCUUAAUUUGACUCAACACGGGAAAACUUACCAGGUCCAGACAUAGUAAGGAUUGACAGAUUGAUAGCUCUUUCUUGAUUCUGUGGGUGGUGGUGCAUGGCCGUUCUUAGUUGGUGGAGUGAUUUGUCUGGUUAAUUCCGUUAACGAACGAGACCCCAGCCUGCUAAAUAGCGCGCGUGAGCUUUGCUCGCGGCGAGCUUCUUAGAGGGACUAUGAUGCGCGAUAGCACAUGGAAGUUUGGGGCAAUAACAGGUCUGUGAUGCCCUUAGAUGUUCUGGGCCGCACACGGGCUACACUGGCGCCUGCAACGAGCAUAUCAGCUGGCCCGAGAGGGUCUUGGCUAAUCUUUUGAACCGGCGCCGUGCUUGGGAUUGACCUUUGCAAUUGUUGGUCAUGCAACGAGGAAUGCCUUGUAAACGCGGGUCAUCAGCUCGCAUUGAAUACGUCCCUGCCCUUUGUACACACCGCCCGUCGCUCCUACCGAUGAAUGUUCCGAUGAAAUUUUCGGAGAGUGCCUGUGAACUUGGCUCUGCCUUGCGAACGGGAAGCUCAAAGUCACUUAAAUCUGAACAUUUCGAGG